This is a long non-coding RNA of Gorilla gorilla gorilla (western lowland gorilla), 336 nucleotides long. RefSeq lists it as uncharacterized. The record is from RefSeq and is a predicted model, not a curated record. NCBI's taxonomy places the organism in Eukaryota, Metazoa, Chordata, Mammalia, Primates, Hominidae. The transcript is spliced from 3 exons.
AAGGCUUUUCUGACAGAGUUAAUUUAAUCUGAGAUAUGAACACCAGCCAUGGAAGUGGAGAGGAUCAUCUGCUGCGAAGGGCAGAAUGGCAAGAAGUCCUCAUCAUCAAUCUCUAAAUGAAGUUACUUGAAGCAAUUCUUGAAACCAUAAUAAUAAUGUCUCCAGAAUUGGUGGAUUCUUGGUCUCACUGACUUCACGAAUGAAGCCACGGACCCUCGCGCUUUGAUGCCUGAAGGUACAACAAACAUCUCAUGACUAUGAGGGGAUGAAAAUGGAUACCAAGGAUGCCAAGAUGAUGGAACAAAAAGAAUUGAUUUGGAACACAACGGCACUAUG